AAUAAAUUCAUCAACAGUCGUCAGUCUUGUUUGAAACAGAUAACAGAGUUUUGAAAACUUGCAUAAUAAUUAUGUACAUGACUAUUAUUUUAUAAACCACUAUAAUUUUAAUUCGUGUUUUUACUGUUGGUUAUGGUAUUAGUUAUAAAAUGAAGUAGCAAUAAUGUAGCAUACCUAAUAAAAAAAUCUUUAUUAUAACAAGAAAGAAACUGACUUAUAUGUUGAUAACAAUAGCAAUUGCUUUCCUGCGUAUCAUCAUUACUACUGCCUAUAUCGUACCUAUAUUUUGAGUUUUCUGUGGAGAACGAAUGGCUCAAGUUAAUAAAGCUAAUGAAAUAUCAAAAACCUACCAAAAAUAAAAAUGCCAUUUAUGUCUGCCUGUCACCACAUAGAAAGCUUUCCGAAAGACACAAUUCCUUGGUGAACCUAUUGUACUGCAUCAUAAAAGCGGAAGAAGGAGGUGAAAUCAACUUGCCGACUGUUUAGCUGUGGUAAAAGCUAUCAAAUCCAUGAAUCCAGGAACCUAUUCAAUUCUCAAGAACAUUUCUGUCAUAAUGUGGUCGGACCCGUUCACCAAGGAAGUUCGCAGACAAAUUCUGACAUUUUACAACAUUCUACAGUCACAUAGAAGACUGGCUUAUGAUGGCGAAAGACUUUUGAAGGCGGUUACCUUGAUUGGGAUCAUAUCUAUUAAACCUUCGAAUCCUGCACUCAAAAGUAAAUGUGAUACCAUUCAAAUGGAAUAAGAUUGAUUUGAAUUGGAAUUUGUUAUUCCUGUAUCAUAGUGCAUUUUUCUACUAGUUACCCUACGUAUUGUACAUUAUUGUAAUAAAGCACUAGCUGUUCCAUAGUAGAAGUCUUUGAAAUAAAAGGUUUCUUUUUCAAGUUA
Molecule: long non-coding RNA, 889 nt
Filed under: Nilaparvata lugens (brown planthopper)
Lineage: Eukaryota; Metazoa; Arthropoda; Insecta; Hemiptera; Delphacidae
Description: uncharacterized LOC111054452, transcript variant X6
Source: RNAcentral